RNAcentral lists this ribosomal RNA (775 nucleotides) under uncultured Neocallimastigales. Its description in RNAcentral is "partial large subunit ribosomal RNA". It matches the Rfam family "Eukaryotic large subunit ribosomal RNA", at positions 24 to 649 of the family's 3401-position model. Lineage: Eukaryota; Fungi; Neocallimastigomycota; Neocallimastigomycetes; Neocallimastigales. The record is from RNAcentral.
UACGACUACAUAUCAGGCAUAUCAAUAAGCGGAGGAAAAGAAACUAACAAGGAUUCCCCUAGUAACGGCGAGUGAAGCGGGAAGAGCUCAAAUUUGAAAUCUUAAAGGGUUUCCCUUUACGAAUUGUAGUUUAAAGAAGUGUUUUCUGUUGGAGUUUCGGUAAAAGUUCUUUGGAAUAGGACAUCAUAGAGGGUGAGAAUCCCGUAUUUGACCGUUACUUUCCAGCUGUGUGAUACACUUUCAAAGAGUCGGAUUGUUUGGGAAUGCAGUCCAAGAUGGGUGGUAAAUUUCAUCUAAAGCUAAAUAUUGGCGAGAGACCGAUAGCGAACAAGUACCGUGAGGGAAAGAUGAAAAGAACUUUGAAAAGAGAGUUAAACAGUACGUGAAAUUGUCAAAAGGGAAGCGUUUGACAUCAGUGUUGUUUAGUUGAAAAUCAAUUCAAUAGUUUUUGAUUCUAAGUAGUAUUGACUUCAUCAGCUUGCUGCUUUCUUCUCAGAAAUUAUUGAAUGCACUUUUCAGUUAACAAGUCAACAUCAAUUUCUUUUGUUGUAAAAGGGUAAGAGGAAGGUGGCUUGCGCUUCGGCUCAAGUGUUUAUAGCCUUUUAUCUCUGCAAUCGGAGAGAUUGAGGUCUGCAGCGUAGAUCCUUCGGGGUUAGAUACAUUGGUGCUAAGCUAUAGCCUUGUAUAGACAACUUGUUGACUAUGCUCAGUCAUGUAGCUUACUCGCUGAUGCUAUUUUACCUACGCUUAGGAUGUUGAGUAGCGACAUACGCAC